RNAcentral lists this ribosomal RNA (253 nucleotides) under uncultured bacterium. RNAcentral's name for it is "partial 16S ribosomal RNA". It matches the Rfam family "Bacterial small subunit ribosomal RNA", at positions 524 to 776 of the family's 1533-position model. The record is from RNAcentral.
UACGAAGGGGGCUAGCGUUGCUCGGAAUCACUGGGCGUAAAGCGCACGCAGGCGGACUCUUAAGUCGGUGGUGAAAUCCUGGAGCUCAACUCCAGAACUGCCUUCGAUACUGAGAGUCUCGAGUCCGAGAGAGGUGAGUGGAACUGCGAGUGUAGAGGUGAAAUUCGUAGAUAUUCGCAAGAACACCAGUGGCGAAGGCGGCUCACUGGCUCGGUACUGACGCUGAGGUGCGAAAGCGUGGGGAGCAAACAGG